This 497-nucleotide ribosomal RNA is filed under the name uncultured bacterium. RNAcentral's name for it is "partial 16S ribosomal RNA". It matches the Rfam family "Bacterial small subunit ribosomal RNA", at positions 28 to 507 of the family's 1533-position model. The record is from RNAcentral.
GAUGAACGCUGGCGGCGUGCCUAAUACAUGCAAGUCGAGCGAACGGACGAGAAGCUUGCUUCUCUGAUGUUAGCGGCGGACGGGUGAGUAACACGUGGAUAACCUACCUAUAAGACUGGGAUAACUUCGGGAAACCGGAGCUAAUACCGGAUAAUAUUUUGAACCGCAUGGUUCAAAAGUGAAAGACGGUCUUGCUGUCACUUAUAGAUGGAUCCGCGCUGCAUUAGCUAGUUGGUAAGGUAACGGCUUACCAAGGCAACGAUGCAUAGCCGACGUGAGAGGGUGAUCGGCCACACGGGAACGGAGACACGCUCCAGACUCCUACGGGAGGCAGCAGUAUGGAAUCUUCCGCAAUGGGCGAAAGCCUUACGGAGCAACGCCGCGUGAGUGAUGAAGGUCUUCGGAUCGUAAAACUCUGUUAUUAGUGAAGAACAUAUGUGUAAGGAACUGUGCACAUCUUGACGGUACCUAAUCAGAAAGCCACGGCUAACUACGUG